UCCACUGACAUUAUGCUCAGACAUAAUAAGCGAUGAAAUCUGCAGCAAUCUCAAAAAAACAAAAAGAAAUAUUGAUUUGCGAUGUUCAGGGUGCCUGAGAGAUAAAGACAUGAAUAGCAGAAACUGCAGCACAAUCCUAAAGAAUUGUUUGUACCAGUGUGAACGCCACAGGGUUAUACUUGAAGCGGAAGAGCAAUAUAAAAGAAAAAUUAAGAAAUUACUGUACAGCAGUGGGAGCUCCACAUAUGUUAAUUAUAAGCAGCUUACACCUCUUACAAAGGGAGGGAUGGAUUAUGAGUCGUUUCUUCAAAGGAAAGCACAACCCAACAGU
Bombina bombina (fire-bellied toad) is the source of this 331-nucleotide long non-coding RNA. RefSeq lists it as uncharacterized. The record is from RefSeq and is a predicted model, not a curated record. NCBI's taxonomy places the organism in Eukaryota, Metazoa, Chordata, Amphibia, Anura, Bombinatoridae. The transcript has 3 exons.